GACAGAGGGUGCAAACGUUGUUCGGAAUUACUGGGCGUAAAGCGCGUGUAGGCGGCUAAGCAAGUCGGGCGUGAAAUCCCACCGCUCAACGGUGGAAGUGCACCCGAAACUGCAUAGCUAGAGUCCUGGAGAGGAAGGUGGAAUGCUUGGUGUAGAGGUGAAAUUCGUAGAUAUCAAGCGGAACACCGGUGGCGAAGGCGGCCUUCUGGACAGUGACUGACGCUGAGACGCGAAAGCGUGGGGGGCAAACAGG
Molecule: ribosomal RNA, 253 nt
Filed under: uncultured bacterium
Lineage: Bacteria
Description: partial 16S ribosomal RNA
Rfam family: Bacterial small subunit ribosomal RNA
Source: RNAcentral